CCUACGGGUGGCAGCAGUGGGGAAUAUUGGGCAAUGGAGGCAACUCUGACCCAGCAACGCCGCGUGAAGGAAGAAGGCUUUCGGGUUGUAAACUUAUGUUGCAAAGGAAGAAAAGAAUGACGGUACUUUACAAGAAAGCACGGGCUACCUAUGUGCCAGCAGCCGCGGUAAGACAUAGGGGGCAAGCGUUGUUCGGAAUUACUGGGCGUAAAGGGAGCGUAGGCGGGAGAUUAAGUUAAAGGUGAAAGCCUUGGGCUCAACCCCAGAAUUGCUCUUAAUAUUGGUUUUCUAGAGUGUGGGAGAGGUAGGUGGAAUUCCUAGUGUAGCGGUAGAAUGCGUAGAGAUAAGGAGGAACAUCAGAGGCGAAGGCGGUUUACUGGACCAUAACUGACGGUGAGGCGCGAAAGCGUGGGGAGCAAACAGGAUUAGAUACCCUGGUAGUC
Molecule: ribosomal RNA, 443 nt
Filed under: uncultured bacterium
Lineage: Bacteria
Description: partial 16S ribosomal RNA
Rfam family: Bacterial small subunit ribosomal RNA
Source: RNAcentral